Molecule: non-coding RNA, 93 nt
Organism: Tersicoccus sp. Bi-70
Lineage: Bacteria; Bacillati; Actinomycetota; Actinomycetes; Micrococcales; Micrococcaceae
Source: Rfam
ACGAGUGACACGGGGUGCCCGCACCGGGCUGAGAGAACACCCGUCGAACCUGAUCUAGUUAGCACUAGCGAAGGGAUGUCGCCGUGAACGACG